Molecule: ribosomal RNA, 433 nt
Filed under: uncultured bacterium
Lineage: Bacteria
Description: partial 16S ribosomal RNA
Rfam family: Bacterial small subunit ribosomal RNA
Source: RNAcentral
AACGAACGCUGGCGGCAUGCCUAACACAUGCAAGUCGAACGAGACCUUCGGGUCUAGUGGCGCACGGGUGCGUAACGCGUGGGAACCUGCCCUUAGGUUCGGAAUAACUCCCCGAAAGGGGUGCUAAUACCGGAUAAUGUCUUCGGACCAAAGAUUUAUCGCCUUUGGAUGGGCCCGCGUUGGAUUAGCUAGUUGGUAGGGUAAAAGCCUACCAAGGCGACGAUCCAUAGCUGGUCUGAGAGGAUGAUCAGCCACACUGGGACUGAGACACGGCCCAGACUCCUACGGGAGGAAGCAGUGGGGAAUAUUGGACAAUGGGCGAAAGCCUGAUCCAGCAAUGCCGCGUGAGUGAUGAAGGCCUUAGGGUUGUAAAGCUCUUUUACCCGGGAUGAUAAUGACAGUACCGGGAGAAUAAGCUCCGGCUAACUCCGUG